Molecule: ribosomal RNA, 256 nt
Filed under: uncultured bacterium
Lineage: Bacteria
Description: partial 16S ribosomal RNA
Rfam family: Bacterial small subunit ribosomal RNA
Source: RNAcentral
UACAGAGGUCCCAAGCGUUGUUCGGAUUCACUGGGCGUAAAGGGUGCGUAGGUGGUGAGGUAAGUCGGAUGUGAAAUCUCCGAGCUCAACUCGGAAAUGGCAUUGGAAACUACCUUGCUUGAGGGUUGGAGGGGGGACUGGAAUACUUGGUGUAGCAGUGAAAUGCGUAGAUAUCAGGAGGAAUACCGAUGGCGAAGGCAGCCCCCCUGGGGUCAAGAUUGAUGCUCAUGCACGAAAGCGUGGGGAGCAAACAGGG